GGGUCUGUCUUGCAUUUUUUGGUAACAGCAUUCUCAGGGCCUUCUGCCAAGGGCCCGCUUUGAUCUCCCUUAAAGGACAGCAUUAUCUGACCAGAGACCCAUGCAGGAGACCUCUCCAGGUACACAUAUUUCCUGCUACUGAAUGGCUUAGACUGGGAUUUGCAAGGAACUACGAAGUCCAAGACCUUUGCCUUUCUUUUAGAAGAAGGCACCAGCUGGUUCUCCAAUGUUGAAGGUCUUCUCCAGAGAUGAACUCUGAAAGCCACAUGUUGAGAUGGCCCCAUUACAGGAUGGAGAGCACCUGAACCCCCAAGUUAUGGACUAGAAGAAGACAGUUGCCCUGGAAAAUCAUCUGACCCACAUUGGACUUUAUGUGAGGGGGAAAUAAACCUUUAUUAUGUUAAGCUACACAAUAAUAAAUAACAACAAUAAUUGUGUUUAUUUGUUA
Homo sapiens (human) is the source of this 448-nucleotide long non-coding RNA. Ensembl annotates it as long intergenic non-protein coding RNA 511. The record is from Ensembl. NCBI's taxonomy places the organism in Eukaryota, Metazoa, Chordata, Mammalia, Primates, Hominidae.